Molecule: ribosomal RNA, 228 nt
Filed under: uncultured bacterium
Lineage: Bacteria
Description: partial 16S ribosomal RNA
Rfam family: Bacterial small subunit ribosomal RNA
Source: RNAcentral
AUAAUCUGCCCUUCAGUGGGGAAUAACACGCCGAAAGGCGUGCUAAUGCCGCAUGUCACAACGAGGCCCCUGGGUCACGUUGGAAAAGGGGACGCCCGCAAGGGGUUCUCGCUGGAGGAUGAGUCCGCGGCCCAUCAGCUUGUUGGCGGGGUAAUGGCCCACCAAGGCGAAGACGGGUAGCUGGUCUGAGAGGGCGAUCGGCCACACUGGGACUGAGACACGGCCCAG